AAACAUCAAAAAGAAAUCUGUUUCUUUUUGGAACUGGAGUGUGCUGGUCUCGCCCUUUGAAAUGUUUUUCUUUUCUUUUGGGUUUACCAGCUCCUCUAAAAUGCAUUUAGCAGAGUGCACCCCCCCCCCACGCUUGCACGGCGCUCUUCUUGGCCAUUGAUAGCUGUCUAUGUCCAAGUUGCCGAGCAGGUUAAGGAAAGGCCUCUGCUUAUAAUGGUCCACCAUGGACAACAUCAUUUGCUUGACA
This 247-nucleotide unclassified non-coding RNA is filed under the name Hygrocybe glutinipes. RNAcentral describes it as "partial internal transcribed spacer 2". The record is from RNAcentral. Lineage: Eukaryota; Fungi; Basidiomycota; Agaricomycetes; Agaricales; Hygrophoraceae.